This 490-nucleotide ribosomal RNA is filed under the name uncultured bacterium. Its description in RNAcentral is "partial 16S ribosomal RNA". It matches the Rfam family "Bacterial small subunit ribosomal RNA", at positions 899 to 1397 of the family's 1533-position model. The record is from RNAcentral.
ACUCAAAGGAAUUGACGGGGACCCGCACAACCAGUGGAGCGUGUGGUUCAAUUUGAGACAAAGCAAAAAACCUCACCAAGGUUUGACAUGUAACCGUACAUUUUUCCAGAAAUGGAGAGAAAUCCGCAAGGAUGGUUACACAGGUGUUGCAUGGCUGUCGUCAGCUCGUGCCGUGAGGUGUCUUAUUAAGUUAAGAAACGAGCGCAACCCCUACCCUGUGUUAAAUUUUCACAGGGGACUGCCCCCGCUUUGCGGGGGAGGAAGGAGGGGCGGAUGUCAAGUCCGCAUGACCCUUAUACCUUGGGCUACACACACCCUACAAUGGCGAAAAACAAUGCGUCGCAAGCCGGUAACGGCAAGCUAAUCGCUGAAAUUUCGCCUCAGUUCAGAUCGAGGUCUGAAAUUCGACCUCGUGAAGUCGGAAUUGGUAGUAAUCGCAAAUCAGCAGGUUGCGGUGAAUACGUUCUCGGGUCUUGCACACACCGCCCGU